GCCUGGGUGGCUCAGUCGGUUGAGCAUCCGACUUCAGCUCGGGCCAUGAUCUCCUGGUUUGUGGGUUUGAGCCCCGCGUCGGGCU
RNAcentral lists this transfer RNA (85 nucleotides) under Felis catus (domestic cat). It matches the Rfam family "tRNA". From Rfam's summary of the family: Transfer RNA (tRNA) molecules are approximately 80 nucleotides in length. Their secondary structure includes four short double-helical elements and three loops (D, anti-codon, and T loops). The record is from Rfam by way of RNAcentral. Lineage: Eukaryota; Metazoa; Chordata; Mammalia; Carnivora; Felidae.